ACUCAAAUGAAUUGACGGGGGCCCGCACAAGCGGUGGAUCAUGUGGUUCAAUUCGAAGCAACGCGAAAAACCUUACCUGGGUUUGACAUCCUCUGACAACCGUAGAGAUACGGCUUUCGUAGCAAUACGACAGAGAGACAGGUGCUGCAUGGCUGUCGUCAGCUCGUGUGGUGACAUGUUGGGUUAAGUCCCGCAACGAGCGCAACCCCUGUCCUUAGUUGCCACCAUUAAGUUGGGCACUCUAAGGAGACUGCCGUGGUUAACACGGAGGAAGGUGGGGAUGACGUCAAGUCCUCAUGGCCCUUAUGCCCAGGGCAACACACGUGAUACAAUGGAUGGUACAGAGGGAAGCGAAAGGGUGACCUGAAGCUAAUCUCAAAAAGCCAUUCUCAGUUCGGAUUGGAGUCUGCAAUUCGACUCCAUGAAGGUGGAAUCGCUAGUAAUCGCGGAUCAGAACGCCGCGGUGAAUACGUUCCCGGGCCUUGUACACACCGCCCGU
RNAcentral lists this ribosomal RNA (499 nucleotides) under uncultured bacterium. RNAcentral's name for it is "partial 16S ribosomal RNA". It matches the Rfam family "Bacterial small subunit ribosomal RNA", at positions 899 to 1397 of the family's 1533-position model. The record is from RNAcentral.